GGCGUGCUUAACACAUGCAAGUCAAGGAGAACGGAUCCUUCGGGAUACUAUUAAACUGGCGAACGGGUGAGUAACACGUAGGCAACUUGCCUUGGAGAUUGGGAUAACCCCGGGAAACCGGGACUAAUACCAAAUAAUGCAGCGUAUCCUUCGGGAUAUGUUGUUAAAGUGGGCUUCGGCUCACACUUCAAGAUGGGCCUGCGUCCGAUUAGCUUGUUGGUGAGGUAAUGGCUCACCAAGGCGAUAAUCGGUAGCUGGUCUGAGAGGAUGAUCAGCCACACUGGGAUUGAGAUACGGCCCAGACUCCUACGGGAGGCAGCAGUGGGGAAUUUUGCGCAAUGGACGAAAGUCUGACGCAGCAACGCCGCGUGAUCGAUGAAGCUUUUAGGAGUGUAAAGAUCUGUCGUGAGGGAAGAAAAAUCUGGAUGUAAAUAAUGUUCAGACUUGACGGUACCUCAUAAGAAAGCACCGGCUAACUUCGUGCCAGCAGCCGCGGUAAUACGAGGGGUGCUAGCGUUGUCCGGAAUUACUGGGCGUAAAGGGUCCGUAGGCGUCUUGUCAAGUUGAUCGUUAAAUCCACCGGCUUAACCGGUGAUCUGCGAUCAAAACUGGCAGGAUAGAAUAUGUGAGGGGAAUGUGGAAUUCCUGGUGUAGCGGUGACAUGCGUAGAUAUCAGGAGGAACACCAAUGGCGAAGGCAGCAUUCUGGCACAAUAUUGACGCUGAGGGACGAAAGCGUGGGGAGCAAACAGGAUUAGAUACCCUGGUAGUCCACGCCGUAAACGAUGAGUACUUGGUGGUGGGGGAUUCGACCCCUUCACUAUCGGAGCUAACGCGUUAAGUACUCCGCCUGGGGACUA
RNAcentral lists this ribosomal RNA (859 nucleotides) under uncultured Fidelibacterota bacterium. RNAcentral describes it as "SSU rRNA". It matches the Rfam family "Bacterial small subunit ribosomal RNA", at positions 41 to 882 of the family's 1533-position model. Lineage: Bacteria; Pseudomonadati; Fidelibacterota. The record is from RNAcentral.